RNAcentral lists this long non-coding RNA (644 nucleotides) under Mytilus galloprovincialis (Mediterranean mussel). Lineage: Eukaryota; Metazoa; Mollusca; Bivalvia; Mytilida; Mytilidae. The record is from RNAcentral.
GUUGUAAUAAAACUAAGCUUUAUACUUAGGACUAUCAACAUAAUAUCAAUGAUUAGUAUAGAAGGCGAGACAUUUCAGCGUGUGCACUCUUGUUGUAAUUCGUUGAAGGAGUUAUCCCGUAGUAGAUAUUGAAUUUAACGGGUAUAUCAAAAUCUGGAGAAUCCCAACCGAUCGCAAUACUGGUUUGAUUGCGUAGUAGUAGCUGUAAAUUGCUUGGAGUCGGUGGAACUAAAUAGAAACGUUUGAAAUCACUCAACAUUAUUAAGUAAUAAAAUGCAGUCUAACAAAGUUUGCAAAAUCAAUAAAAAGAAUGACACGUUUUGUGGUUGAUAUGUCAAUCACAUAACGUUAAGAUGCAACCAUAUGUUAUAAUGAUAUAUCCCUAUACCUUAAAGAUAUAACCACAUUACGUGAAGAUAUAACCAUGUAACGUAAAGAUAUAAGCAAGACACGAAAAAGAUAUUACACAUGUACCACAUAUUAACGUUUGUAUGUAAACAUAUAACGUUUGAGCGUUCCUGGUGAAGUUUAAUCUAGACAAAUCGCAUCUGACGCACCAAUUCAUAUCGAACUAUUAUAAUUCAAUGUACUGUAAAUUCACAGAAAAAUAUAUUGAUUGGCAAUUUGUACAUUUUCCAUCCUAC